Dendroctonus ponderosae (mountain pine beetle) is the source of this 480-nucleotide long non-coding RNA. RefSeq lists it as uncharacterized. The record is from RefSeq and is a predicted model, not a curated record. Lineage: Eukaryota; Metazoa; Arthropoda; Insecta; Coleoptera; Curculionidae. The transcript has 2 exons.
AGAGCAGUAAAGCCUGCGGCAGAUCCUUGUGGGCCAUUUUGGGAUGUUCCCGGCCCUAAAAAAGGAAUGAAAAUAACGGUUUGCAGGUUUCCAAAUCAAGGCUCUCAAGAACACUAACCUGCACCAUGUUGAAGUUUAAUAGAAUCCAAUUUUGAGACCAAAUCGCCUAAAACCUCAUCAAAAUCGAAGAAUGGGAAAGAAAAAGUUUGGGAAAAACUAUCACAACCCCUACCCCAGAAAAAGUUUCAGCUUUUUUCUGGUGGGGGCCGAUCAUCGAACGGAUAUGUCAAUAGAAAAAAAUCGCGGGAGAUUCAAAAGGUUUACGAAUGUUCAAGCCAUCGGAUUUUGCUAUCAUUUGGUGGGUGUUUAUUUUUUUGGGUUCGUCAUGGAUUAGAAUAUGAAUAGAAAAUGUAAUGCCACUACUAUUGAACGAAUUUUCGGGCUUUUAGCCCUGCUUCCUGACGUUUUGCAAGCACGAGU